CCUACGGGAGGCAGCAGUGGGGAAUAUUGCACAAUGGGCGAAAGCCUGACGCAGCGACGCCGCGUGAAGGAUGAAGGUCUUCGGAUCGUAAACCUCUGUCAGCAGGGAAGAACAGUAGCUAUGGUAAUUGGUUGUGAAUUGACGGUACCUGCAAAGAAAGCGAUGGCUAACUGCGUGCCAGCAGCCGCGGUAAUACGAGGGGUGCGAGCGUUAAUCGGAAUUACUGGGGGUAAAGCGCUCGUAGGCGGUAUGUCAAGUCAAGGGUGAACUCCCCGGGCUCAAACCGCGAACUGCCUUUGAAACUGGCAAACUGGAGUGUGUGAGAGGAGAGCGGAAUGCCAGGUGAAGGGGUGAAAUGCGUAGAUAUCUGGAGGAACACCAAUGGCGAAGGCAGCUUACUGGCACAUAACUGACGCUGAGGGGCGAAAGCGUGGGUAGCAAACAGGAUUAGAUACCCCUGUAGUC
Molecule: ribosomal RNA, 465 nt
Filed under: uncultured bacterium
Lineage: Bacteria
Description: partial 16S ribosomal RNA
Rfam family: Bacterial small subunit ribosomal RNA
Source: RNAcentral